UACGGAGGGUGCAAGCGUUGUUCGGAAUCACUGGGCGUAAAGCGCGUGUAGGCGGCCUUCUAAGUCUGGUGUGAAAGCCCGGGGCUUACCCCCGGAAGUGCACUGGAUACUGGAAGACUAGAGUACCGGAGAGGAGGGUGGAAUUCCUGGUGUAGCGGUGAAAUGCGUAGAUAUCAGGAAGAACACCGGUGGCGAAGGCGGCCCUCUGGACGGAUACUGACGCUGAGACGCGAAAGCGUGGGGAGCAAACAGG
RNAcentral lists this ribosomal RNA (253 nucleotides) under uncultured bacterium. Its description in RNAcentral is "partial 16S ribosomal RNA". It matches the Rfam family "Bacterial small subunit ribosomal RNA", at positions 524 to 776 of the family's 1533-position model. The record is from RNAcentral.